This 47-nucleotide ribosomal RNA is filed under the name Humulus scandens. RNAcentral describes it as "partial 28S ribosomal RNA". The record is from RNAcentral. Lineage: Eukaryota; Viridiplantae; Streptophyta; Magnoliopsida; Rosales; Cannabaceae.
CAUUGUAGUGCCUUCAACGCGACCCCAGGUCAGGCGGGAUUACCCGC